This 114-nucleotide non-coding RNA is filed under the name uncultured Cafeteria. The record is from RNAcentral. Lineage: Eukaryota; Bigyra; Bicosoecida; Cafeteriaceae.
GCCGCCGGGUGAGCUGGAUGCAGGGGACGUCACAGUCUCCGGAGGGGGGUGUGUGGCGAGGCCAGGAAGGGAGCAGCGUCGGCCGUGCGCGUGAUGCAGCGGUGGAGGUACAGC